This 24-nucleotide unclassified non-coding RNA is filed under the name Mus musculus (house mouse). RNAcentral describes it as "oocyte_clustered_small_RNA10576". Lineage: Eukaryota; Metazoa; Chordata; Mammalia; Rodentia; Muridae. The record is from RNAcentral.
UGUCAGGCGGAGCUUCAGAGUCCG